This 265-nucleotide signal recognition particle RNA is filed under the name Alkalihalobacterium chitinilyticum. RNAcentral's name for it is "signal recognition particle sRNA large type". It matches the Rfam family "Bacterial large signal recognition particle RNA". From Rfam's summary of the family: The signal recognition particle (SRP) is a universally conserved ribonucleoprotein involved in the co-translational targeting of proteins to membranes. Archaeal SRP consists of a 7S RNA and homologues of the eukaryotic SRP19 and SRP54 proteins. In most bacteria, the SRP consists of a 4.5S RNA and the Ffh protein (a homologue of the eukaryotic SRP54 protein). Lineage: Bacteria; Bacillati; Bacillota; Bacilli; Caryophanales; Bacillaceae. The record is from RNAcentral.
CCGUGCUAGAUGGGGAGUUGGCGGUGCCCUGUAACCUGCAACCCGCCUUAGCAGGAUUGAAUUCCCACAAGCGGUGCGAUAUAUGUGAGGUUUGCCUUAUGCAAGUAGUGUUGACCAUUGGGGUCUGCGCAACAGGAACCUACGAACUUGGUCAGAUCCGGAAGGAAGCAGCCAUAAGUAGAUCAUUCUGUGUGCCGCAGGUCGCCCUGAUCGAGCUGGCUACAUAAGUAACACUCAUGUGUCCGUAUCAAUUGUGGGUGCACGG